UAAGGAAUAUUGGACAAUGGACGGAAGUCUGAUCCAGCCAUGCCGCGUGAAGGAUGAAGGCGCUCAGCGUUGUAAACUUCUUUUGAAUGGGAACAAACCUCCCGAUGCGUUGGGAGCUGAGGGUACCAUUAGAAUAAGCACCGGCUAACUCCGUGCCAGCAGCCGCGGUAAUACGGAGGGUGCAAGCGUUAUCCGGAAUCACUGGGUUUAAAGGGUGCGUAGGCGGUUGCGUAAGUCAGUCGUGAAAUUCCCCGGCUUAACCGGGGGCGUGCGAUUGAUACUGCGUAACUUGAAUAGGGUUGAGGUAGGCGGAAUGCGACAUGUAGCGGUGAAAUGCAUAGAUAUGUCGUAGAACACCGAUUGCGAAGGCAGCUUGCUGGACCUUAAUUGACGCUGAGGCACGAAAGCGUGGGGAGCAAACAGG
Molecule: ribosomal RNA, 424 nt
Filed under: uncultured Saprospiraceae bacterium
Lineage: Bacteria; Pseudomonadati; Bacteroidota; Saprospiria; Saprospirales; Saprospiraceae
Description: bacterial SSU rRNA
Rfam family: Bacterial small subunit ribosomal RNA
Source: RNAcentral